RNAcentral lists this ribosomal RNA (426 nucleotides) under uncultured bacterium. RNAcentral's name for it is "partial 16S ribosomal RNA". It matches the Rfam family "Bacterial small subunit ribosomal RNA", at positions 354 to 796 of the family's 1533-position model. The record is from RNAcentral.
GUGAGGAAUUUUCCGCAAUGGGCGAAAGCCUGACGGAGCAAUGCCGCGUGAAGGAUGAAGGCCUAUGGGUUGUAAACUUCUUUUCUCAGAAAAGAAUUAUGACGGUAUCUGAGGAAUAAGCAUCGGCUAACUCUGUGCCAGCAGCCGCGGUAAGACAGAGGAUGCAAGCGUUAUCCGGAAUGAUUGGGCGUAAAGCGUCUGUAGGUUGUUUAAAAAGUAUUCUGUCAAAGAUUAGGGCUUAACCCUAGAUAGGCAGAAUAAACUUUUAAGCUAGAGUUUGGUAGAGGCAGAGGGAAUUCCCGGUGGAGCGGUGAAAUGCGUAGAUAUCGGGAGGAACACCAAAGGCGAAGGCACUCUGUUGGGCCAAUACUAACACUGAGAGACGAAAGCGAGGGGAGCAAAUGGGAUUAGAAACCCCGGUAGUCC